GGGGUUGUGGCUCAGUGGUAGAGCACUUGCUUAGCAUUUGUGAGGCACUGUAUUUGAUUCUCAGCAACACAUAAAAAUGAAUAAAUAAAAUAAAGGUAUUUCCAUCUACAACUAAAAAAUGUUUAAAAAAAUGGUUGUGUGUUAAGAAAUGACUUUUAACUAAAGGUGAAGUAAAAUUAUACUAAUGUUAUUUUCAACAGUUUGUUCAAGACACUGAUUCCU
This 222-nucleotide transfer RNA is filed under the name Marmota monax (woodchuck). Its description in RNAcentral is "tRNA.Ala". The record is from RNAcentral. Lineage: Eukaryota; Metazoa; Chordata; Mammalia; Rodentia; Sciuridae.